This 1369-nucleotide long non-coding RNA is filed under the name Malus domestica (apple). RNAcentral's name for it is "long non-coding RNA (MDOM_LNC001617)". Lineage: Eukaryota; Viridiplantae; Streptophyta; Magnoliopsida; Rosales; Rosaceae. The record is from RNAcentral.
UCGAAAUGCCAUAAAACCCUUGCUUCCAAUCCAAUCCCCAGUUCCUAAAUUUCCAGCAAGCAAAGAUAUGGCGUGGCGAUCUGGGUCGUCGUUGUCAAGGUCUCUGAUCUCAACGGCAAGAGCUUCGACAUUCCGGUCGUCUCCAUCGAUCUCAUCUCUCCCUCGCGCUCCGCUUCGUAAUCUCAUCGGCAGCAGCUCCCGCCGCAACCUCUUCUCCCUCCCAGUCAAUGUGGGCCAAUUAGCUUGCGCGCAGUCGCUGAUGCCAUUGCACAGCGCCCUGGCUUCGGCUCGUCUCACAAGCCACAUCUCCGUCGAAGCGCGGCAUUGCUGCGAGCUGUCUCAGGGUACCUCCAUUGAUCCCUCGUAGUAGUUUCUCUCUUUCUGCGGUGCGUCUUGUACUGACAUUUUUUCCCCUUUGAAAUUACAUUGAAUUACUUGUCAUCUGUGUGUGAGAUUUGGUGAAAUGGAAGUGUAAUGAUAAGGAAUUUUAAUUGAAAGAGAAAAAUAUGGGAACUUUGAGUAUUUUGUGUAUGCAAUGCCUUGUGAGCUGUUUGUUUAAUGAGAAGCUUGUGAUUCAUGAUACUCAGCACUAGCUUAUUGAUUUGUACCAUCUUAUUGUUUCUUCCAGUUAUCUGCGCGUUAGAUUUUGAGAAAUGGGAGUGUAACGAUAAGAAUUUCAAUCGAAAAUAGAGCAAAGAUGGGAGCUUUGAACUUGUUGGGUAUGCAAUGCAGUGUUUGUGUAAUCGGAAAUAAAGCUUAUGGUUGUUUCUGAACCCAAUAGAAGUUGAUUAAUUGUGGAGUUUCUAGAUGUGAUACUAUGAUUCUCGGUAACAUUUGUCAUUUCAUCCUUGUGCUUUAUCCUUUUUGGUGGUGGAUUGCUUUCGUACAGGUGUUAUUCUUCGUCCAAAUUCCAAUAUUUUGAACAGAAUUGUGGCUGCUAUAUUUUUAACUAUCCAUCUAUUAUUAUAAGCCAUCUCAAGUGAAACGCUUGUGGGCUUAUCCAAUUCCGACAUGAAAAAGUUAUGUUAUUGUCUUUCGGUGUGAGUAGUGUCUGUCUAGAUAUGCAUCUCAGCUUAUUGGUCUUCUGGGUGCAAUGUUGUAGGUUCUUGAACAAGCUUCGGUUGGAUUGACACAGCAGCAGUUGCUGCUUUAUUAUGUGGAUCGUGAGAGUGGAAGCAUUCUGUACUCCUUAUGUUUGAUAAGGUGGGUGUAGGAUGUAAUUUCACGUUGUAGUGGAUAAUUUCUAGUUUCAACAUUGUUUCUAUAAGGUGUGUUCAUUUUCUUAUAAGCCAUCUGUUGAUACAAUUCAUGAUCUUGAGGGUGAUCAGAAAUUGGAAUAUGAUUCCCCUUCUUCUCAUACUCAUACCUA